Molecule: non-coding RNA, 402 nt
Organism: Suncus etruscus (white-toothed pygmy shrew)
Lineage: Eukaryota; Metazoa; Chordata; Mammalia; Eulipotyphla; Soricidae
Source: the annotation of a RefSeq genome assembly
AUGAGCGCCCCUGUGCAGCUCCUCAGCUUCCUGAUGCUCUGGCUCUCAGGUGCCAUGAGUGAUAUCCAGCUGACCCAGUCUCCAUCCAUGUCUGCAACUCUGGGACAGAAAGUCUCCUUAUCCUGCAAGGCCAGUCAGUACAUUGGCAGCUCUUUGCACUGGUAUCAGCAGAAACCAGGGGAAGCUCCUAGGCUCCUGAUCAAGUAUGCAUCAAACUUGCAACCUGGUGUCCCUUCCAGAUUCAGUGGCAGUGGAUCUGGCACAGAUUUCACUUUCACCAUCAGCAGACUGGAGUCAGAGGAUGCUGCCACUUAUUACUGUCAACAGAGACAUAAUUAUCCUCCCACAGUGAUACAGGCCAGAACAAACCCCCCCAGAGAAGACAUUGAUGAGGCUUUGUAG